Paramisgurnus dabryanus is the source of this 681-nucleotide long non-coding RNA. RefSeq lists it as uncharacterized. NCBI's taxonomy places the organism in Eukaryota, Metazoa, Chordata, Actinopteri, Cypriniformes, Cobitidae. The record is from RefSeq and is a predicted model, not a curated record.
GUUCGAGGACUACAAAAAACACUCGGAUUGUAGGCAACAGUUUACUUCCUGGGAUUAGUGACGUAGAUAAGACCAACAUUAUCAUAGUUCAGCCCUCUCUGCUUUGCUUGGGUACGCCCUCAAAGACGGGGGUGGGGAGCGCCGAGUCAGAAGAGGGCUAAAAUGGCGGAGGUUGUGAGUCCCUGCUUUGACUCUGUUUGCAAACUCUUGUUUCAUUGUUUAAGCGAUUAAAUCUCUCGAGUAGACGCUGUCUCUUUAGAUGCGAGGGAAAAAUAGCACUUUAUGGACUUCCACAGAGGACAUCAUGUUUAAUACGGUUCCGGAAAAAUCCAGUCAGAAGUUGUUCACGGAGUUUUCACAAUAACUGCUUCUCAUGAACCGAAGCUGGAUUUGCGCGAUGUCUCCUCUUGAAAGUUGGAUUACUGUGCACUUCUGGAUCACAGGCUAUUCGCAGCUGGACACAUCCUUCUACACUGUAUGCAAACAUGCAACAUCAUUACACACAGUACAAGGAGUCAGACUGGCAUAUGAGGAGCAAAGGAACCCAGGCAGUAGCAUCGUUUCACAAUGUUUCAAUCACCAUCAUCAGUGGAUGCCUUUGCUGUCCGUAGCCUGAGAUUUCAGAUUUGCAGCAAAAAAUUUGAUUUUCUCAUUUAUUGGAAUGCUGUGCAGGUAUUUAAG